AACGAACGCUGGCGGCAGGCUUAACACAUGCAAGUCGAGCGCACUCUUCGGAGUGAGCGGCAGACGGGUGAGUAACGCGUGGGAACCUACCUUUAGGUACGGAAUAACAGUUAGAAAUGACUGCUAAUACCGUAUGUGCCCGAGAGGGGAAAGAUUUAUCGCCUAAAGAUGGGCCCGCGUUGGAUUAGCUAGUUGGUGAGGUAAUGGCUCACCAAGGCGACGAUCCAUAGCUGGUUUGAGAGGAUGAUCAGCCACACUGGAACUGAGACACGGUCCAG
RNAcentral lists this ribosomal RNA (278 nucleotides) under uncultured bacterium. RNAcentral's name for it is "partial 16S ribosomal RNA". It matches the Rfam family "Bacterial small subunit ribosomal RNA", at positions 29 to 334 of the family's 1533-position model. The record is from RNAcentral.